RNAcentral lists this ribosomal RNA (442 nucleotides) under uncultured bacterium. RNAcentral describes it as "bacterial SSU rRNA". It matches the Rfam family "Bacterial small subunit ribosomal RNA", at positions 339 to 797 of the family's 1533-position model. The record is from RNAcentral.
UUACGGAAGGCAGCAGUGGGGAAUAUUGCACAAUGGGCGCAAGCCUGAUGCAGUAACGCCGCGUGCGGGAUGAAGGCCUUCGGGUCGUAAACCGCUUUUCGGAGGGACGAGACAGGACGGUACCUCUGGAAUAAGUCUCGGCUAACUACGUGCCAGCAGCCGCGGUAAAACGUAGGAGGCGAGCGUUAUCCGGAUUCACUGGGCGUAAAGCGCAUGUAGGUGGUUCGUUAAGUAGGUUGUGAAAGCCCCCGGCUCAACUGGGGGAGGUCAGCCUAAACUGGGGGACUUGAGGUUUCGAGAGGAAGGUGGAAUUCCCGGUGUAGCGGUGGAAUGCGUAGAGAUCGGGAGGAACACCAGUGGCGAAAGCGGCCUUCUGGCGAAACCCUGACACUGAGAUGCGAAAGCGUGGGGAGCAAACGGGAUUAGAUACCCCCGUAGUCCU